This 10283-nucleotide long non-coding RNA is filed under the name Homo sapiens (human). RNAcentral describes it as "non-protein coding lnc-FSCN2-1:7". The record is from RNAcentral. Lineage: Eukaryota; Metazoa; Chordata; Mammalia; Primates; Hominidae.
GGAGCCUGGGGAGUCCCGGGACCGACGGCGGCGGGGAUGCGGGUCUGCCUGUCCCUGGGAUGCGGGCGGGCGGGCAGGGCGAGGCCUGGAGCCCGCGGGGCGCAGGGGGCUGGACCGCGCGCUGUGAUUUUUCUGUUUAGCAGCGGGGCCUCGCCCAAGGUCGCGCGGGGCCUGUCCUGGAUAUGCUCUGGGAAGCCAGUGGCGCAGGGCAGCCGCCACCCUUCUGGAACCAGUGCCGGAGAGGGCCGGGCAGCUGGGCCUGGGGAGGGGACCGCAUGGAUGGAGCUGGGGGUAGCUGGGCGGCCUCCGGAGCCGGGAGAGUCGGCAGCUGCACUUCCGCCAGAGGUGGGUGUGUCCUUCACAUUUCAGGAAGGGAGACUUGGGGCCUGGAGAAGCGAUGUGAUUUUUCUUUUCUAGUUCAGUGCUGGUUUUGAUGGCUUUUUAUCAUGACCUUGUUAUGUCUUAUUUUAGUUUCGGCCCAUUUAGUGGAUACGACAACAGUGGCCCAGGGAGGUAUGGCAGAGCUGAGGCUUAACCCAGGGCCUGCGCCCUCCACGGCCUGCACUGCCCCACCUCCAGCUCCUUGCCCUGUUCCUCCCUCUGCACCGGAUCAGCCCCCGGACUCUGGGUCACCUCCACACCAGUUGACAGGGCCCCCCAGUCCCCACCGCCAACCACCUGGCCGGCUACUUGUCAGACAGACAUGGGGGCGUGGGCAUGGGUCCCCACCCCUAGCCUUUGCCUCUGUCACUCUACCUGCCUGGAAUGUCUACUUUUUCUUUAUAUUUUAUUUUAUUGUAUUUUUGAGACAGUCUCAUUGUCGCCCAGGCUGGAGCGCAGUGGCGCGAUCUUGGCUCGCUGCAACCUCUGUCUCCGGGGUUCAAGCGAUUCUCGGGCCUUAGCCUCCCGAGUAGCUGAGACUACAGGCGUGCACCACCAUGCCUGGCUAAUUUUUGCAUUUUUGGUGGAGACAGGGUUUCACCAUGUUGGCCAGGCUGGCCUGAACUCCUGACCUUAAGUGAUCCACUCGCCUAGGCCUUCCAAAGUGCUGGGAUUACAGGCGUGAGCCACCUCACCCAGCCUGGAGUGUCUCAUCUUCCACCACUAAAUGAAACGAUGGACCCUGAACAGAAAAAGGAACAGUGGUGGAAGAACUAGCAAAGCCCACAGCCUUGAGUUUGGCCGGUGGUUCUUAGCUGCGGUCACAGAUUGCAGGGGAGGAGCCAGAAACGGAGAUGAAACCGAGGAGCCCCCACCCUCUUCACAGGGCUAAAGCCAGAAACCACCGUCCCAGGCCACAGCCUGCCUCAUGUGGCCAUGCCUGCUCCCUGGCAGUGCGCGUCCUGCAACCCUUCCCACCCCAGGGCCUCGGCUUCCGCAAUGAAUCCCCAUGUUUCAAAUCCCCGCUGCUCCCAAGGCUACCUGCUGCCUCGGGGUAGAAUCUAAGCCCCUUCCCCUGGUGCUGGAGGCCCACAGAGUGGGCGCUGCCUGUCCCUCCACUCCUUCAGCGCCCUGACCACCGUCUGGCUGUUCCUUUGCCCCCAAAGCUGUCCCACUGGCUGCCUCCUCCUGGCAUGCCCCCAUGCCACCCACGACCUCCCAUCAACUCCUAUUGAUUAUUAGCUUCUUUCACCCACUCUCUGCCCUAGAGCAUUGGUUCUUGGGGCACAGCAUCCUUGUCCUCCACAGUGAAGCUGGUGCCCCUGUACCUGGCAUAGCCCCUGUACCUGGCAUAGCCCCUGUACCUGGCAUAGCACCUGCCCAGCAGCUGCUCGUGCAGGAAGCCCAAGUAGGGGUGGAAUAGAGAGGGAGGAGUUCCCAGCCCUGGAGGAGGGAGCGCAGAGGAAGGCUAGGCCGAUUCGCAGCUGCCUCCUAUCUCAAAAACGUGGAAGGGGCUAUAACUCUAGGGCUGGGAGGGAGGGGAGUCGUUUUCGCUGACUCUCCGCACGGACCCUCUCCUGCCCGCUAGCUGGUCAGCUCCUCCAGCUCUCCCCGCGGCAGCAGGCCGGGGAGCAGAUGUCUUGUCCAGUGUGCGCGGGGCACCGAGGUAGGGAAAGCCUGUUUAACCCGUCCCGCCCCUCCUGCUCUGGCCAGCAGCUCGCCCAAGCAGCUCUGCAGAGCGACUAGGUCAGGGCCUCUCCAGGUGUCUCCACUCGAGGGACGGCUGGCGCCACGCGGAAAAGGGGAAGCGGGUCAGGGCGGGACAAGGGCAAGAGGUUACUGCUCUGGGCGCUGUGUCCUAAGGGCUGCCUCUUGUCUGCGGAGAAUGGAGGGUGCCGGGGGUCAAGCCCGGACUCUGUCAGGGUACCCGAGUCUUAGCCACGCCAUCCUUCCCCAGCGCGCCGCGGGGGCGGGCACAGCAGGGCGGGCGUGGCUGGGAGACCGGCUGUGCCUCGCCGCCCCGCCCGUCCCAGGCCGGGAAGCUGGGACUUGAGCUGGUCUGCAUUCGGGCAAGUCCUUAGGACAAGGCAUCCUUUGGGGGCGUCACCAAGCUGGGAAGGUGAGCCCCCGAGUCAGUGUUGAGUUUGCGUAUCGGCAAGUGCCUUGAGCUCACACCCCUGGAACUGGCAGUUUGGUGAGAGAUGGAAUUUCAAGUUGAGAACUGGCCUGGGAUUUUGAACGCUUAGUCCCUGUCUCUUGCUGGCACUGCUGCUGAUGAGAAAUGAAUGUCACUGGAUUCCUGAUCCAGAGUCCAGGUGUUGUGUUUCUCUAAGAGCCUUCAGGCUUUUCCUUGCUGAUCUAAAACUGCUUCAUGUCCCUGGUGAUGCUUUUGCAUUCAUUAUCUUGGCUACUUCCUAGGCCCUGUUCUUGCUAAUUUGCUUGUAUUAUUUCUUUUACAAUUUCUUUCUUUUGUUUUCUGUUCUUCUGUUUUGGGAUUUCUGUUAAUUGGGCAUUAUACCUUCUGGAUUUAUUCUCUAAUAUUCUAGUUUUUUUCUUCUGUCUACUUUUUUAAACCUUCUGGGAUAUUUCCUUGACUUCUAACCCUUCAGCGGAGUUUUUCAUUUUAUUUAUUAUAGUUUUUAACCUUUUGGUUUUGAAAUUUUUUUUUCUUUUUUUGAGACAGAGUUUCACUCUUGUUGCCCAGGCUGGAGUGCAAUGGUGCGAUCUUGGCCCACCGCAACCUCUCCCUCCCAGGUUCAAGCGAUUCUCCUGCCUCAGCCUCCCUAGUAGCUGGGAUUACAGGCAUGUGCCACCACGCCUGGCUAAUUUUUGUAUCUUUAGUAGAGACAGGGUUUCUCCAUGUUGGUCAGGCUGGUCUCAAACUCCCGACCUCAGGUGAUCCACCCGCCUUGGCCUCCCAGAGUCCUGGGAUUACAGGCAUAAGCCAAGCCCAGCUUUUUUUUUUUUUUUUUUGAGACAAGGUCUUAUUCUGUCAUCCAGGUUAGAGUGCAUUGGUGCCAUCUCAGUUCACUGUAACCUCGACCUCCCAGGCUCAAGCAAACUUCCCACCUCAGCCCUCUCCAUCCCCCAGCAGCCAGGACUACAGGUGUAUGCCACCAUGCCUGGCUAAUGUUUGUAUUUGUAGUAGAAAUAGGGUUUUGCCAUGUUACCCAAGCUGGUCUUGAACUCCUGGGUUCCAGCAGUCCACCCGACUUGGCCUCCCAAAAUGCUGGGAUUACAAAUGUGAGCCACCACACCCAGCCUUUGUUUUGAAAUUUCAAACUUACCUCGUUUUAAACAUCUUGACACAUUUGCUUAUCAUUCUCCUUCUAUUUCUGAGCCCUUUGGAAGCAGGUUUCAGGCAUGAUGCCCUUACUAUUUUAGGGUGUGUUUCCUAAGAACAAGGAUGUUUUCUUCUAUAACCACAGAACAGUGAUCAAAAUCAGGCAACAUCAGUAUCACACUGUUUAUCCAAUUGACAGGCAAUGAUGGCGUGGAUCAUACAACUUCGGUAAUGACACUUGUCCCAGAAAUGUCCUCCGUAGUGUGUUUUCCUCAUCUAAUCCAAAAUCACGUUAUAACGUUUUGUUGUCAUAAACUUUUUUUUUUGAAACGGAGUCUCACUCUGCACUCUGUUGCCCAGGCUGGAGUAGAGUGGCACGAUCUCGGCUCACUGCAACCUCCGUCUCCUGGGUUCAAGCAAUUCUCCUGCCUCAGUCUCCUGAGUAGCUGGGAUUACAGGCGUGGACCACCACACCCAGCUAUUUGUUGUAUUUUUAGUAGAAAUGCAGUUUCACCAUGUUGGGCAGGCUGGUCUCGAACUCCUGACCUCGUGAUCCGCCUGCCUCGGCCUCCAAAAGUGCUUGAAUUACAGCCCGGCCAAACUAUCAUACUUUUAAUUCCCAAGGCCUCUCUUGUUCUCUGCACCAUUUCAUUAACUAUAGGCAAUGAGACUUUUUUAGAAAGCAGACCAACUUGAAUGCAUGGAGCUGAGUGGCGUGGCGUUGUCCCCAAGGGAGCUGGGUGACACCACGAUGGUGACCAUGUGCAGAGCCCUUCUCACCGUAGAGUGAUAAAUGGUCCGUUUCUGUUUUGUCCCAGAAGUCAGAGGUAGAGUUAAUUCCUUUCCUUUCCCCAGCACGGUUCCUGGCACACCUGGCACUCCCUAAGUGCCUGUGAUGGUUGGUUCUUACGUGACUGAACUUGCGGGUGGACGUGGCAUUACACGUGGGCAGGGCGUAUGUACACCUGUGUGUGUGUGUAGAUGCAGGUUCGCAGGGGCUGGGCAGAGGCCGCCACCUGCAGACCUGUGGGCUCGUUCACGCCAGGUGUCCAUGUCUGUGGUGUGCCCCUGUGUGUAAGUCCAGCUGGGCUGUAGACAGCCAUCUCUUCUCUGAAAGUUGAUCUGUUCGUCACUCUAAGCCCCAAGCAGCCAGGGGCUCAUGGGAUUUUCAUGAACACUCUCCUCCUGUCCCCUGCAUGUGCAAAGGUCCUGGGGCUCAGGGGUUGGAGGCUCCAUCGCCCCAGUGGUUGUGAGGCAUCUGGGCUUGUCCAGACACCUUCGCUUCUGCCCUCGGGGUCCCUUUGGGGACUUUUGUCCUUGCUGGGGUCCAGAGUUUUCUGGCAAGGCCUAGAGCCCUCUUCCUCCCCUCCCCUUCCAGGCACAGCCCCCCACCAGCACCUUAUGAUUUCACAGAAGACAAAAGCCAGCAGACUGUGUGGGCUGUCUGCCCUGAGAGUUCCAAGGCGAGGCUCCGGAGCAGCCAGCCGUGAACCCCAACUGCAGUUCGGGAAGCUGCUUUCGGGGAGGGGCAGGGAGGGGAGGGGGAUUCUCGGAGCAGGCAGGCAGCCACGCUGGAGAGCCCCUCCCCAAGCUCUUCAUUCCAACCCUGCCCUGCCCCCUGCCUUGCCGAUGGAGCCUGUCACCCUAAACCUGGCCUCAGUAAACCAACCCAGGCCAGAGAAAGAGAAGUGCGGCCCCCUCGCCCGUGUAAGUGGAACUGCAGCGGAGCCGAUAGCUCAGCCAUGAAAAAAUCAUGAGGUCGCCAGGCUGCAGGUCUGUGCUCAGGAAUAACACCCGGGGCUGGGCCCCUGGGAGUAGGUGCUGGGCCAGGAGUGAGGACAUCAAGGCCCGGUGUGCCCAGCAGGGUGGCCCUCACCUGGCUGCAGGGCCAAGGGGACAACAGAGCCUAGGCAGGGGCUUGGCACGGGGACAAGGGGGAGGGUGGAGUACCUGGGAAUCACUGGAGACAGGGAUGCCAACAGGAGUGGCAGCGGUCAGGGCCUGGCACUGAGGUGGGGGCUCCUCCGAUGCCUGCAGGGAGGGCUGCAGGCACUGCUGGCCUGUGAAAGGCGUGGUCCUCAGCCGCGGGGUGGCCCCAGGGCUCCAUUUCCCAGUUUUCAGGGCUCCAGUCCAGCAGGGCGAGGAGCCACCUCUCCCCCAGCUGCACACACGCAGGCCUGUGCCAGCUCACACCACCAGCAUCAGCGUUGCAGGGCAUCCAGCCUGGAGCACGUGCCGGUCACCAUGGCAGCAGACAGCGUGCCAGCAGGAGCCCAGGCUGGGCUCAAGCAUCCAGGAUCAGUGGUCUAGGCAUGGGGGGCUUGGGGUCCUUCCCCUUGGAGCACCAGACGGGCCAACUCGGGGAGGGGAAGGGGGACCCUGGAGCACCAGGACAGCCCGUCCACCAGCACCUCAGAAAGGGAACGAUUUCCUAAGGGCUCUCGGGAAACCUGAGGGUGGACACCAGGUGCCGGUGGGGGCGCAUGGCUUCCUGGUCCUGCCCAGCUGGCCCCGCACUGAGAGGGAUGGAGGCCGAGGCUCAGGCCUCGGGAGGCUGCCAGGGGAUUCUGAUGGCUGAGGCAUUCCUUGCCCUCUGGGCUCAGGUGAGGCCAGGAAGUCUGUCACAGCUGGCUGCUCCCUGGACCAGGGGGCUGGGGGUACUGCUACCCCAAACAGCCUCUCACUGCCCACCGGGACAAGGCACCCCCUCCCAGGUGCAGACCUCAGCUUGGGCCUCAGGCACACACUGGGCAGGGGCUUCCACCAGCCUCAGAGGUGGGCGAGGGUGGGGCGUGGAGCCCUCAGUGUGGCAGCGCCUUUGAAUGUCGCCACAGUGCAGCCUGCACAGGUCAGGGUGGCAGGCACGUGUGUAUCCCAUGUGAGUGGUUGGUUGGCACCUCCGGAGGUGUGGCCACAGGGCUUGGUGAGGGUCAGUGGGAGGGGUGCUUCCUGUUGCCUGAGAACACUGCAGGGGGCUAGAGUGCCCCAGCCCACCAUAUGCUCUUGUGAGUUGUGUAUGUCUGGAGUAUGAGUGGGACCCUGGAAAUAGCCUCCCUUGGGCAGUGUACAACCUGGGCUCCCUGCUGGGCAGCCCUGAGUAGGCUCUCAGGCUGGGAUCCAGGAUGACAGUCCCAGGGUCCAGAGUUGGCCCAGCAGGCGACUCUUCUGGCAACCUUUGCCCACCCUCAUCCAUGAGCACCUUCACACACACACACACACACACACACACCACACUCACACACAUGCACAACGCUGCACCCAUGGGCAGAGGCUCAGCCCAUCAUACAAGAACCCGGCCCUGUGCUGGGGUCCCAGCUGCUCAGGAGGCCAAGGUGGGAGGAUCGCCGGAGCCCAGGAGUUCGGGGCUGCCACUGGCCAAGAUAGCGCCACUGCAGUUCAGCCUGGGUGACAGAGCAAAACCCUGUCUCUAAGAUAAAUAAAAAGAACCAGACGGCCAGGCACGGUGGCUCACGCCUGUAAUCCCAGCACUUUGGGAGGCCGAGGCAGGUGGAUCACCUGAGGUCAGGUGUUUGAGACCAUGCUGGCCAACAUGGUGAAACCUCAUCUCUACUAAAAAUACAAAAACUAGCGGGGCGUGGUGGUGGGCGCCUGUAGUCCCAGCUACUUGGGAGGCUGAGGCAGGAGAAUCGCCUGAACCUGGGAGGUGGAGGUUGCAGUGAGCUGAGAUCACGCCACUGCACCCCAGCCUGGGCGACAGAGCAAGACUCUGUCUCAAAAAAAAAAAAAAAGGCUGUGCCUGGUGGUUCACGGCUGUAAUCCCAGCACUUUGAGAGGCUGAGGAGGCCAGAUCACAAGGUCAGGAGUUCGAGACCAGUCUGACCAACAUAAUGAAGCCCCGUGUCUACUAAAAAAUACAAAAAAAAUUAGCUGGGUAUGGUGGCAGGCGCCUGUAAUCCCAGCAACUCGGGAGGCCGAGGCAGGAGAAUCACAUGAACCUGGGAGGCAGAGGUUGCAGUGAGCCAAGAUUGUGCCAUUGCACUCCAGCCUGGGUGACAGUGUGAGACUCUGUCUGAAAAAAAUAAAAUAAUUAAUAAUAACCAGACUCCCGACAUCCAACAAUCUCAGGCACUUAUUAAGUACCUGCUGUGUGCCAGAAAUUUUGCUGAGAAUCCAGAGGAAGCGAUCCUAGCAGGUGGCUGGGCAACAGCCUGGGGUCCUGAGGUGGAGGCAGGAGGGGCUGGAAUCCCUGUAAACGGCCUCCCUCCAAGGAAGCCUGGCCCAGGCGCCCACCCUUCAGUCACCCUCCCCUGUUUAGCUCACACAGCUGGGUCAGUGCCAGGCAGCCCCACCCAACGUGGAGCUGUGGGGCCCUAGAACUGAGGAGCCGCCAUCAUUUCUGGCUCUGCCACCAAGAGGCUGCCCAGAGCCAGGCCCACUUAGUGCCGGGCGGCCAGGCUUCCCCCUGCUGAGCACCCGAUGCCUAAGCGCCCUGCCAGCCCAGACAGCGCUAAUGAGGCCGUCGUGCCAAUCAGAGGGGCAGGCCGCCUGGGCUCCUCCUCAGCCUGGCUGGGCGUUGGGGUGUGGAGGUGAAGCCAGUGUCUGUGCCUGGGGUGGGGGGGACCAUGGGCACAGCUGCCCCUCCGGCUUCCCCCACCGCUCACGGACCAACCGAGCUGUACCCUCAAAAUCCAACGGGAGGCCGGGCGCAGUGGCCACGCCUAUCAUCCCAGCACUUUCAGAGGCCGCGGCGGGCAGAUCACUUGAGGUCAGGAGUUCGAGACCAGCCUGGGCAACAUGGUGAAACCCCAUCUCUACUAAAAAUACAAACAUUAGCCGGGCACGGUAGCAAGUGCCUGUAAUCCCAGCUACUUGGGAGGCUGAGGCAGGAGGACUGCUUGAGCUCGAAGGUUCCAGUGAGCCAAGAUUGCGCCACUGGACUCCAGUUUGGGUGAGGAGCGAGACCCUAUUUCAAGAAAAAAGUUUUUUAAAAAGAAGAGCCAAUGGGAAAGUGAGGUGCAGGCAGCACCCUAGCUUGUAUCCCUAAACCAGAGACAGUUCCCUGGCAUCGGUGCUAGGCCUGUGUCCUCAGUCCCCUGGAAACUGUGGGAGAGUGUGUGUGGGCAUCGUCUCUGGGAAGGGGGUGAAACCCCAGACUGCGUCUCCCCAGGAUGGUGCCUGGCACGUGACCUGGUUUCGCACACAGUUGGUGCCUCAUAAAUGCGUGUGAAUCAUAGAGGCGGAUGAGGCCAGCACACAGGGAGAGGCGAGAGCAGGCCCUGGCGUCGUGGCGUACGCUGUGCCCUGGGGGGUAUUUGCAUGUGGGAGUCUCUCUGCCCCCACCCUGGCCCCUGAGCGUGGGGACAGUGGGGACAGGUCUCCUCUUUUUCCUCCCCUGUGUCUGCAGGUGCCUGGCACGGUUGCUGUCCAGGGCUUAGAGGACAGAGGAAGAGCCCCUGAGUCUGUGCACACUCUGCCACCAUGGCCCUGCCCACCUCUGGAGCCCACAGGUGCCCAGCCCAGGCCCCUUGCUUUUGGCUAGACUCCUGCCCUACGGGGACCCCCAUGAUGGCCACUCAGGAGAUGGGCCCAGGAGGACAGGGGAGUGACUCCAGGCCAUGACCGGAAGGGGCCUGUGGCCCCUGUUCCCAGUCCCCAGGGAGACGGGAGGGUCACACGCUGUUAUGAGGAAGAGGACACCGGGCUGGCCCUGGCCCAGGGUGGCCAGCUCUGGUUUCACUACUUGGCCCCAAGCCCCUGAGGCAGGUGCAGGAGCCAGGCACGGUGAGCAGGGCCCAGUGCCCCUCAGGCUCUGGGGAAGGGGUACAGCCAGGUGGCCCAGAGCAAGGAGGUGCUGUAGACAGGUGUGACCACUUCCAGUCUCUCCCGGCCUGCUGGCCUUCAUCCUCUCCCAGAUUCCAAGGGCCACCGCUGGGAGCAUGGGGUGGACAUCGUCCCACCAGCCUCCUGGAUCCACAUCCGUAAAGACUCCAAAGUGAAGUGAGGCUGGCUUCACUCCAGCUCACAGCAGAGGAGGGGGCAGCCUCAGGGCCCAGCAACUUGCUCAGAGCGCACAGGAGUGCGCUGGGGCCGGGCCAGCCUGGCCCAGGGCCUCUGACUCUGCCCCCUGCCUGCAGGGCUGCACGGCCACUGUGUUCCACCCUCCAGCGUGGGUGGCAGUCCAGUGCGUCAUUCUGGGGCCUGAGCAGUGUGGCCAGAGGCCGGUCUGGGGUGGAGGCGACCUGGGCUGCAGGUUGUGGCUGGGGUCCUUGCUAUGCUUCUGGCAGCAGGAAUCAGAGAAGCAGUAACUGGAUCCAGCUGAGGGCCUGGCGGCCACCGAGGGUACGGGCGGCGAUCAGGUUGCGGCCGAGCCGUGAGCGUUCCACUGGACGGCUUCUACAUCCGGAAGGGCUGGGCCGGGCCGGGCCGGGAGCCCACACGGGGUUGGAGGAGGGGGGCAGGAACGAGAGAGGCCAAAAGGUGCAGGGCCGUGAAGAGGGGCGCUGGGCCCACGCUAUGAGGAAAAGGGGAUCAACCCUGCCCUCCAGCCCCGUAGGCCCUCAGGCCCUCGGGCUCUGGGCUCUGUGCAAUCCGGGAGUGGCUGAAAUCCAAGCUGAGGGUAAUGAAAGGUGCUGCUCCUAAGCCGCACGUCUCUGAUCCG